GCAAUACUUUCACUGCCCCACUCUAACAGUGAAGUUGAAUGUCUGUUUAGUCUAAUGAAUGUUGUCAAGUCAAAGCUUCAACACCAUCUGGCUAUAAGCACACUAAACGCUAUACUGACUGUGAGAACUGGGAUAAAACUCUUCGGCGAAUAAUGCUCCACUUACAACCUACCUGACACUGUUACAAAACGAACAGGAACAACGGCAGUCUACUCUUUCAAAGUAACAGCCAUCCAGCAGCAGUCAGCAGCCUGAACCAUGCACCGGUAAUCCAGAACCAUUUACAUCUAUAGAAGGGGAAUGGGACAGGGAUGAGGACAUUAUGCAGAUUUAGACAUGGAUCAAUUGUAGGUGUCACAGUUCGAGAGAGACCUUACCGGAUCCCAGAAAGUCAACAAGGUGGCAUUAGCAAAGAGAUAUGGGCGAUGCUCAAACUUGGGGUGACUGAAACUUCCAGGACCGAGUGGUGCAGUCCGAUUGUGAUAGUCUCCAAAAAGGAAGGCACCAACCACUUCUGCAUUAAUUUCCACAAGGUAAACGCUAUUGCCAAGUUCGAUGCCUGCCCCAUGCCUCUGGUCGACGCACUUCUCGACAGACCUGAUGAAGGGAUACUGGCAGUUAUCAUUAACCCACAGCUCUAGUGAGAAAACUGCAUUUUCUACUCCUAAUGGUCUGUUCCAUUUUAUAACCAUGCUGUUUGGGCUUCGUGGUGCGCCUGCUGCCUUUCAGAGACUGAUGAACCAGGUCUUACAUCCACAUCACAGCUAACACGUACCGGGAGCUGUCGCUUAAGGCCG
Polyodon spathula (Mississippi paddlefish) is the source of this 797-nucleotide long non-coding RNA. RefSeq lists it as uncharacterized. The transcript has 3 exons. NCBI's taxonomy places the organism in Eukaryota, Metazoa, Chordata, Actinopteri, Acipenseriformes, Polyodontidae. The record is from RefSeq and is a predicted model, not a curated record.